GAUGAACGCUAGCGGCAGGCCUAACACAUGCAAGUCGAGGGGUAGAAGCUUUCGGGCUUUGAGACCGGCGCACGGGUGCGUAACGCGUAUGCAAUCUGCCUUGUACUGAGGGAUAGCCCAGAGAAAUUUGGAUUAAUACCUCAUAGUAUUUUUUGUUGGCAUCAACAGAUUAUUAAAGAAAUUCGGUACAAGAUGAGCAUGCGUCCCAUUAGCUAGUUGGUAUGGUAACGGCAUACCAAGGCUACGAUGGGUAGGGGUCCUGAGAGGGAGAUCCCCCACACUGGUACUGAGACACGGACCAGACUCCUACGGGAGGCAGCAGUGAGGAAUAUUGGUCAAUGGUCGCAAGACUGAACCAGCCAUGCCGCGUGUAGGAUGAAGCAUCUAUGGUGUGUAAACUACUUUUGUACGGGAAGAAACACUCCCUCGUGAGGGAGCUUGACGGUACCGUAAGAAUAAGGAUCGGCUAACUCCGUGCCAGCAGCCGCGGUAAUACGGAGGAUCCAAGCGUUAUCCGGAAUCAUUGGGUUUAAAGGGUCCGUAGGCGGUUUUAUAAGUCAGUGGUGAAAUCCGGCAGCUCAACUGUCGAACUGCCAUUGAUACUGUAGGACUUGAAUCAUUGUGAAGUAACUAGAAUAUGUAGUGUAGCGGUGAAAUGCUUAGAUAUUACAUGGAAUACCAAUUGCGAAGGCAGGUUACUAACAAUGUAUUGACGCUGAUGGACGAAAGCGUGGGUAGCGAACAGGAUUAGAUACCCUGGUAGUCCACGCUGUAAACGAUGGAUACUAGCUGUUUGACAGUAAUGUUGAGUGGCUAAGCGAAAGUGAUAAGUAUCCCACCUGGGGAGUACGAACGCAAGUUUGAAACUCAAAGGAAUUGACGGGGGCCCGCACAAGCGGUGGAGCAUGUGGUUUAAUUCGAUGAUACGCGAGGAACCUUACCAGGGCUUAAAUGUAGUAUGGCAGGUUUGGAAACAGACUUUUCUUCGGACAUAUUACAAGGUGCUGCAUGGUUGUCGUCAGCUCGUGCCGUGAGGUGUCAGGUUAAGUCCUAUAACGAGCGCAACCCCUGUUGUUAGUUGCCAGCGAGUAGUGUCGGGAACUCUAACAAGACUGCCGGUGCAAACCGUGAGGAAGGUGGGGAUGACGUCAAAUCAUCACGGCCCUUACGUCCUGGGCUACACACGUGCUACAAUGGCAGGUACAGAGAGCAGCCACUUCGCAAGGAGGAGCGAAUCUAUAAAGCCUGUCUCAGUUCGGAUUGUAGUCUGCAACUCGACUACAUGAAGCUGGAAUCGCUAGUAAUCGUAGAUCAGCAUGCUACGGUGAAUACGUUCCCGGGUCU
RNAcentral lists this ribosomal RNA (1344 nucleotides) under uncultured bacterium. RNAcentral describes it as "bacterial SSU rRNA". It matches the Rfam family "Bacterial small subunit ribosomal RNA", at positions 28 to 1381 of the family's 1533-position model. RNAcentral also lists the same sequence under 1 other name. The record is from RNAcentral.